Molecule: unclassified non-coding RNA, 2379 nt
Filed under: Portunus trituberculatus (swimming crab)
Lineage: Eukaryota; Metazoa; Arthropoda; Malacostraca; Decapoda; Portunidae
Description: uncharacterized LOC123509931, transcript variant X5
Source: RNAcentral
UCUACCACCACCACCACUAGUCCCUCCACCACCACCCCCUCCACCACCACCAGCGCCACCACCACCACCACUAGCCCCUCCUCCACCAGCCCCUCCACCACUACCAGCGCCACCACAACCACCGCCAGGAGCACCACCAGCUCUACCACCACCACCACCACCACCAGUGCCACCACCACAAACCGUGAACCAUUCCCAUCUGUUGUUUCUUCCCCGACAAUGGGCAAGCCAUCGAGCAGCAGCGAUACAGCCCCGGUGGAUCAUGGGGCCGUGAAGGUUGACAGUAAGGACUUCCUCCCAGAAGGUCACAGUAGUGGAGGGCGACCCCCGCCUCUUGACGUUGAUGAUUUGUGGUUCCAAAAUCUUUUCUUGUCUGAGGUGCGCGAGGCUGUUAUCCCGGCGCCCACGCCUGUGCCUUACACUGUCAGACUCUGGCAGGAGCAUGACAAGAAGAUGGGCGGGUUCUCCAGCCGUUUCGUUCCUCUCUCGCUGGACAUCGUGGAGUCAGACUUCGUGCCGCUGACCCACCCCGACGCCACUGUCGCUGAGAAGAAACCCUCCACGGACCUUCAGCACGAGCACCGAGAACACUCAGAGGCUGUUCACACCAAGGAACCCCAUCACAACUUGCAGGAGGAACCCAGCCUGGUAGAACAACCCACUCUGGUAGAGGAACCCACCCUGUUAGAGGAACCCACUCUGGUAGAGGAACCCAUCCUGUUAGAGGAACCCACUCUGGUAGAGGAACCCAGUCUGGUAGCAGAACCCACUGUGGUAGAACAACUCACCAUGGUAGAAGAACCCACACUGGUAGAGGAAUCCACUCUGGUAGAACAACCCACCAUACAUGAGGUAGCCGCGGUGGUAGAACAACCCACCCUGGUAGAGGAAACAACAUCGGGCGGGGCCCCUCCUCGCCAGCCACACUCCAGCACUACUGCAAUCGCUGAUGCAGAGAUUGGUCCCUCAUUUGCCACCCGCGACCCUGCACCAGGCAGCGGCCCCGCGCUGGGAGGCGGCGGCGUGGAGGUGCAUGAGACGCUUCCGCUGACUAUUUCUGAAGUCGCACAUUCUCUAGAAGGCAAGACAGCAGAUGAAGAAAAGGAGGAGGAAAAAGAGAAGAAAAACAAGAAGAAAAAGAAAAAGAAGAAAGACAAGGAAAAACAGGUCAUCGCUCCACACAGUGGCCAGUCUGGCGGGAAGAAGAAACAGAAUAGCUUAAGCCAGCAGCUUCCCGUCACUACAGACGAUCUCGGCAGCCAUGCCGUGGUGCCUUCUGCCGUCCCUCAUGAUGCACAAGACAUCUCGCCAGGACGAGCCGCGGCCACUCAGCUGACAUCUAAUCAAACCCCGUCCACUCCUGUCUCGCCGCCAGUCUCCAGCGCCACGAGCCCCAGUCACUUCCCUCCACAGCCUCCCACUGACGUCCAGCUCGACGACCACGUCCACGCCCCCACCGACACUCCCUCCCCCACCCAGGCCUCGCCGGACAGUCUUUUAUCUUCAAACAAUUCCCGAGGCCAUGGCCAGUCUAGUGAAAGUGAGGGCGGCGCCCCUGAUAGACCAGCGGCGGCAGACAGCACCCGCGACGACCUGGCUGAGGCGGAGCCCCAGGGAGAAAGUGGUGCCGGGACGCCGCUGCUGCACGCUGCCGUGGCUGGGGCGGUGCUGCUCGCCGUGUUGUGAUGGAAAUUUUUACUUUAAUGUGCUGUUUUGGUGCUUUUUGCCGCGCUGUGGCGUGGUGAAGCCGCACGGCUGCUGCGCCCAACACUGCCAUGUGAAACGAAUUACUAAACCUCGCAAGACGAACAUUUGAGCCACGAGGCAAAGGCCGCGUGUUGUUAUGGUGCUAUUGCUGUUGUUGUGAUGUUUUUUGUUGCCGUUCUCGCCACUGCCACUCUCGUUGUUGUUGUCGUUGUUGUUGUUGUUGUUAUUGCUGUUAUUGCUGUUGUUGUUAUUGUCACUGUCGUUGUUACUGUUUUUGCUGUUCCUGCUGUCCCUAUUGGUGGUGGCAGUGGUGGUGCAGAGUCCUUCCUCAGACGUAAACAAGCGUUGGUGUGAGAUUUAACCUUUGCAUCGACACACCACCUCCACCGCUCACCAUGGAGCCGCUCCGCCCACCGCCCUGACCGACGCCUCCCUGGUGGUGGUGGUGGUGGUGGCGGUUGCGGCGGCGGCGGUGAUGGGAGUGAGGCAACGGAAGAAGGCCACGGAGGAGCCGCUGUGUUGCUGUUGAGUUCAAAUGCACCAAGUACGCACCAGGAAGCCAAGUUUGCGAGACUGCCGGGUCCUCUGGAGUCAACAAGGCAUCGCUGCUCCCUCUGGUGGCGAUGCUUCUCAUCCUCCGGCAGCUCCUUGUCUAGGCCACCCCGCCCACCC